UGAGUAACGCGUAUCCAACCUGCCGUCUACUCUUGGACAGCCUUCUGAAAGGAAGAUUAAUACAAGAUGGCAUCAUGAGUCCACAUGUUCACAUGAUUAAAGGUAUUCCGGUAGACGAUGGGGAUGCGUUCCAUUAGAUAGUAGGCGGGGUAACGGCCCACCUAGUCUUCGAUGGAUAGGGGUUCUGAGAGGAAGGCCCCCCACAUUGGAACUGAGACACGGUCCAA
This 227-nucleotide ribosomal RNA is filed under the name uncultured bacterium. RNAcentral's name for it is "partial 16S ribosomal RNA". It matches the Rfam family "Bacterial small subunit ribosomal RNA", at positions 107 to 334 of the family's 1533-position model. The record is from RNAcentral.